AUCCUUUUCCAGUUCAUAAGUGUGAUGAUUGGGUUCUCAUGUAUUUGCGUGACAGUGCCUCCCUCUAAACCUUGUUACAACAUGGGCUUGUAACCCAUCUGAUG
Dipodomys spectabilis (banner-tailed kangaroo rat) is the source of this 104-nucleotide small nucleolar RNA. RefSeq annotates it as small nucleolar RNA U13. The transcript has a single exon. Lineage: Eukaryota; Metazoa; Chordata; Mammalia; Rodentia; Heteromyidae. The record is from RefSeq and is a predicted model, not a curated record.